Molecule: long non-coding RNA, 611 nt
Organism: Camelus dromedarius (Arabian camel)
Lineage: Eukaryota; Metazoa; Chordata; Mammalia; Artiodactyla; Camelidae
Exons: 3
Source: RefSeq, a predicted model, not a curated record
UGUCAAAACGAGACCCUUGAAUGUGUCUGGAAAAUGCAAGUAUGACUUCAGUGUCCAGUAUGUUAAAGGAAGUCCAGACCCUGGCCUCCGACAGACUUGGUGUCAAAUGUCAUCUGCCCGCUUCGCCAUGUGAACAGGGUAUAAUCCGACCCAUGAUAAAGAAUACAAUUUUCGAGAGCUGCUCAAAAAGUCGCAAAGAAAAAAAAAAACAAAAACAAGAUUUUAGAAGACUACGUAUGACAACAGGUGGCCACAGAAACAAGAGCAAAAUGAUAACAGCAAAGAAAGGGCGCCCGGAGGACAUGAACACAGCGAAGAGACUGGAUCCUGCGCCUCCCGCCCAUCCUCCAUCUAGUCUUACUCGUCAUCAAACCAGGUCAACAGCUAACAGUGCAAUUAAGCUUUUGUUUUUCAUGUAACAGUCGCCUUUGUAAGUACACCUGACAGACUUUAUCCUCUCUAUUUCUUGUUUCCUUUUGGACUAUUUGUUAUGUCAUUGUUAAUGUGUGCUGACUGCCAUGAAGGUAACUUCAGUUAUUAACUAUGGUAAAUAGCACCUUCUACUUUAAAUAUAUUUUGAAAAACAACGUUUAGUGUUGAUUUAAGCCACA